Molecule: ribosomal RNA, 144 nt
Filed under: Triticum aestivum (bread wheat)
Lineage: Eukaryota; Viridiplantae; Streptophyta; Magnoliopsida; Poales; Poaceae
Description: partial small subunit ribosomal RNA
Source: RNAcentral
AUGGAGGUCAUUCUCUCGAGAAGCAUUCUUGGGAAGAACUAUGAAGAACUUGGUCUUGAGUAUGAUGAAGAUGUCGAUGUGAACUUCCAACCGUACAGUGAAAUGAUGGCGAGUCUUAACAAAAGGAGAGAAGUUUCUCGCUGA